This is a non-coding RNA of Pelobates cultripes (western spadefoot toad), 373 nucleotides long. The record is from the annotation of a GenBank genome assembly. Lineage: Eukaryota; Metazoa; Chordata; Amphibia; Anura; Pelobatidae.
GGCAAAUUCAAGUGUUCUUGUUUAUUAAGGAAAAAGUCAGAGUUCUUAUAGACAUUCCAUUCAAUGUACUCCAAUGAGUGGUACAAAACUAAACAAUUUAAUUGGCUAGUAUACUGUUUGUCUUUCCCAGCUCCAUGAUGUAGAGAAGAGUGUUGUUGUACUUUAUGUGUAACACUUAAAGGACCACUCUAGGCACCCAGACCACUUCAGCUUAAUGAAGUGGUCUGGGUGCCAGGUCCAGCUAGGGUUAACCCAUUUUUUCAUAAACAUAGCAGUUUCAGAGAAACUGCUAUGUUUUAUGAAUGGGUUAAGCCUUCCCCUAUUUCCUCUAGCGGCUGUCUCAUUGACAGCCGCUAGAGGCGCUUGCGUGCUU